CGGGGGGGGCAAGCGUUGUUCGGAAUUACUGGGCGUAAAGGGCGCGUAGGCGGCCUUCUAAGUCAGACGUGAAAUCCCUCGGCUCAACCGGGGAACUGCGUCUGAUACUGGAAGGCUUGAAUCCGGGAGAGGGAUGUGGAAUUCCAGGUGUAGCGGUGAAAUGCGUAGAUAUCUGGAGGAACACCGGUGGCGAAGGCGGCAUCCUGGACCGGUAUUGACGCUGAGGCGCGAAAGCUAGGGGAGCAAACGGGAUUAGAUACCCCGGUAGUCCUAGCCCUAAACGAUGAGUGCUUGGUGUGGCGGGUAUCGAUCCCUGCCGUGCCGAAGCUAACGCAUUAAGCACUCCGCCUGGGGAGUACGGUCGCAAGGCUG
Molecule: ribosomal RNA, 372 nt
Filed under: uncultured organism
Description: bacterial SSU rRNA
Rfam family: Bacterial small subunit ribosomal RNA
Source: RNAcentral